This 84-nucleotide transfer RNA is filed under the name Desulfovibrio sp. Its description in RNAcentral is "tRNA-Leu". It matches the Rfam family "tRNA". From Rfam's summary of the family: Transfer RNA (tRNA) molecules are approximately 80 nucleotides in length. Their secondary structure includes four short double-helical elements and three loops (D, anti-codon, and T loops). Further hydrogen bonds mediate the characteristic L-shaped molecular structure. tRNAs have two regions of fundamental functional importance: the anti-codon, which is responsible for specific mRNA codon recognition, and the 3' end, to which the tRNAs corresponding amino acid is attached (by aminoacyl-tRNA synthetases). tRNAs cope with the degeneracy of the genetic code in two manners: having more than one tRNA (with a specific anti-codon) for a particular amino acid; and 'wobble' base-pairing, i.e. permitting non-standard base-pairing at the 3rd anti-codon position. The record is from RNAcentral. Lineage: Bacteria; Pseudomonadati; Thermodesulfobacteriota; Desulfovibrionia; Desulfovibrionales; Desulfovibrionaceae.
GCGAGGGUGGCGGAACUGGUAGACGCACCGGAUUUAGGAUCCGGCGGUUUGUCCGUGGGGGUUCAAGUCCCCCCUCUCGCACCA